This is a long non-coding RNA of Tympanuchus pallidicinctus (lesser prairie-chicken), 2221 nucleotides long. RefSeq lists it as uncharacterized. The transcript is spliced from 2 exons. The record is from RefSeq and is a predicted model, not a curated record. NCBI's taxonomy places the organism in Eukaryota, Metazoa, Chordata, Aves, Galliformes, Phasianidae.
CGCGGCAGAGCGAUCCGCACGUUCCGCAAUGCGCACCGCAGCCUGUCGCGGUCUGAUUACGUCACCGCCAGAAGUGCUGCUGGGUGAUUUUCCGGUGUUGGUCGCUGCUGCUGCCUGCAAAUGAGCAAGCGGAAAGUGCUGCAGGAGAGCCUCAACCAGGGCAUCGCAGACUUCCUCAUGGCUAGGGAAUUACGACCGCGACGUGAACCGAGCCAUUCACAACUACGACGCGUACAGAUACCGCCUCCUUCCUCAGGGCUGCUUUUUUCUCUUCCCUGCCGGAGCGCCCCGCUCCCAUCUCUCGGGGGCCCGGCCCGGCCUCGCCGCAGGGCUGAGCGCGCUGCUCUUUUCUGGCCGCUGACCGACGCCGUUCCGCAGGAAAGCAGACUGUCGUUUCUCGGUACCCCAGCAGAAUACGGAGUGAAGCCGAAGCUAAGAAGCUGGUAGGUACCGGGGCGAAUUUGAGCUUCUUAGCGUGGAGGAACUGUGUUAGGAUGGUAUCGAGGUUUCUAGGAGGAGGGAAGCUGUGUACGAAUGACUCUGCUUGCAUCAGCUUCUGCUGGCAGCCGGCUCAGGGAAGGGCGAGUGGAGCAUAUGGGCUGCAGGGAUUUCAUAGGUGGAAUUGGAGACGCCAGCUGGGUCUCUUCUGUGAAAGGCUUCUACUGUGGCAGGUUUCCCCUUUGCUGUGUUACUGUCUCACUAAGUUUGGGAGUUGUAGGAAUCUACAAUUGGUUUAAAAUAACUGUUUGCAGGGGACUUGUAAUACAGCACUUGAAGUACUCUGUGCUACUUGUGUUGUACCCUUCAGUGCUUCUGAUCUCUUACAGACCAAUGUUUUAAAAUGGUUUCUGUGACUUCACAGUUCUUUUUAUUGAGCUUUAUUUUUCUUAGGUAUGAUGGCUGUAAGUGACCUUGAAAUUGACUUGUAGUUAAUCCUUCCUCAAUGUUUAGGAUGGAGUAGAUGCUAAAAUAGCUGAGAAAAUAGAUGAGUUUUUAUCUACUGGACAGCUUCACAAAUUGGAAAAGGUGUGUUUCUUUCCCUUGUGCUUUAUUUCUCAGUAGUUGUUUUACUUUGUACUUUGUGUAGUAGUCUGCUUGCUUUGUGCAGUUUCUGUUGCUUUCUGCGGAGAGAGUGAUGUCAAGCAGAAGAACGGUGGAGUCUGCAAAGUAAAAAGUGGGGAACAAGAAGCUUAGCCAAAGCCUCAGAACUGUCUACUUAUGAAAAUAUUUUAGAUUUUAUAACUGGCAUGUGAAUGUUUUCUGUGAGAAAUGGAAUUCCGACUCUGGAAGGCUGCGGAAUUGACUUUUAACCAUGCUGUUUACCUUAGCAUGGGCAGUUAAGACAGUUAAUUCACUGGAAUGGUACGUAUGGCACUGUCCUAAUGCACAAUAUUUCUGUUAGUACUGUUUUGUUCUGAUUUACAGUAGGUCUCCAAAGCAGAAUCUGACUAAGUUGUUUUAUAAGCUUUCUUUAUUUAGUGAAAUGGAGUAAAGAAGAGUUUGUUCACAUUACUAUCUUUUUGCAGAUUCGACAAGAUGAUACAAGUGCAUCCAUCAACUUCCUGACAUGAGUUACUGGUAUUGGGUAAAGCUUAGUUAUUAUUUGUUAGUGGUGGGGGGAAGUAGUUGUCAAAGUUGUAGAACUGCCAAUUACAGAUUCUGCAGUAGAGGAGUGGAAGUGGAAAGCUCCUGUGUGCAAGCAGAGAGGGGAAGGAGAGAGGGAGGUGAUCAAAAACUGAAUCAAAAGACUGAGAAAAGUAGAAUCAUGAAGGCAGAGUAGGAGCCUAUGAGAUUUACAGUGCAAAAUCUGAUUAGGGAGAGUAGUAUUUUUAUUAUGUUUGUAAAAGGAAAUCCAGAGCCCUGCCAACCCCUCAAAAACAGGUCUUUUCAGAAAGAUGAUAGCAGGAGAUCUAAUUCUCUCGAGGCCUGUUCUCAUUCCUAUUCUGUGCAUAGGGAAAUUUUGGCAAAAAAGAGUUCAGUUUACAGACAGGCACUUAACUUAGCCUGUGCAUAGCAGCAGAAGUCAAUAUCUUGAGUGAGAAGGACUGUGAUUCUGCUUGCUAAGAACAGGGUUGGCUAAAUAUAGAACACUUGUGCUUAAAAUCAGAACAGAUUGGAAUGCUGUGGGGAAGAAGAGGGAAAAGCAAUUGUCACGGAGUUAUCUGAGUCUGUGACAAAGGGAAAAAAAAGCCCAGGAAAGCAAACAAAAAAAAAACAACAA